RNAcentral lists this RNase P RNA (426 nucleotides) under Alphaproteobacteria bacterium. RNAcentral describes it as "RNase P RNA component class A". It matches the Rfam family "Bacterial RNase P class A". From Rfam's summary of the family: Ribonuclease P (RNase P) is a ubiquitous endoribonuclease, found in archaea, bacteria and eukarya as well as chloroplasts and mitochondria. The record is from RNAcentral. Lineage: Bacteria; Pseudomonadati; Pseudomonadota; Alphaproteobacteria.
CCAGACGGCCGGAUGGCCGCUCUUCGCCUUUGGCGCAGAGAGGAAAGUCCGGGCUCCACGGAGGCACGGUGCCGGGUAACACCCGGCGGGGGCGACCCCAGGGAAAGUGCCACAGAAAGUACACCGCCGGCCUGUCCCGGGCGAACCGGGCGGGCGGUAAGGGUGAAACGGUGCGGUAAGAGCGCACCGCGCCGCCGGCAACGGCGGCGGCAGGGAAAACCCCACCGGGAGCAAGACCGAGUAGGAGCGGCGGGCAUCCCGGAAAUCCGGAGAUGCCGGGCGAGCCUUCGCGCUGCCGCUCGGGUGGGUCGCACGAGGCGCUCGGCAACGAGCGUCCCAGAGGAAUGGUCAUCGCCGCCGCCGCCGCGGUGCGGCGGNNNNNNNNNNCGCCCGCCACAGAACCCGGCUUAUACGCCGUCUGGCAGC